AUGAAAAAUCAUGUUGACGUACAGCCCGCCGGCGGGGCCUGCAGAAGGCGAUGUCGCUUUCUGGUGGCGGGUGGCCAUGGACGUGUUGCAGGCGUUGGGGUGGCGCGGUGGCGCGAGCUCGGAUGUACUCAGGUUGUCAAAAGGCAAACUAUUCCUGAUAUAGGCAAUGAUGAUGAAGUGCCAAUAUCAGGAAGAAAGCGACAUGUACAACAGAGAUUAGGAAAUAAUGUGGUUGUUUCUGAUUCGUAUAGGAGUCAACAUAGUAAUAAAAGGUUUAUAGUUGAAUUAUCUUCAUACAUAUGGUAG
RNAcentral lists this ribosomal RNA (306 nucleotides) under Triticum aestivum (bread wheat). RNAcentral's name for it is "partial small subunit ribosomal RNA". The record is from RNAcentral. Lineage: Eukaryota; Viridiplantae; Streptophyta; Magnoliopsida; Poales; Poaceae.